UGGGGUGUGACUCAGUGAUAGAGUACUUGUCUGACAUGCAUGAGCCCCUAGGUUCAAUCCCCAGUAGCACAA
This 72-nucleotide transfer RNA is filed under the name Fukomys damarensis (Damara mole-rat). It matches the Rfam family "tRNA". From Rfam's summary of the family: Transfer RNA (tRNA) molecules are approximately 80 nucleotides in length. Lineage: Eukaryota; Metazoa; Chordata; Mammalia; Rodentia; Bathyergidae. The record is from Rfam by way of RNAcentral.